This 500-nucleotide ribosomal RNA is filed under the name uncultured bacterium. Its description in RNAcentral is "bacterial SSU rRNA". It matches the Rfam family "Bacterial small subunit ribosomal RNA", at positions 29 to 501 of the family's 1533-position model. The record is from RNAcentral.
AACGAACGCUGGCGGCGUGGAUAAGACAUGCAAGUCGAGCGAUUAUCACGGGGUAGCAAUAUUCCGUGGUGAGAGCGGCGCAAGGGUGCGUAACACGUGGGCAAUCUGCCGUGAAGUUUGGGAUAAUCCCGCGAAAGCGGGACUAAUACCGGAUGUGGCCAUUGGGAGGCAUCUUCUGAUGGCUGAAGUUGGGGACCGCAAGGCCUGACGCUUCACGAUGAGCCCGCGGCCUAUCAGCUAGUUGGUGAGGUAACGGCCCACCAAGGCGAAGACGGGUAGCUGGUCUGAGAGGACGACCAGCCACACUGGAGCUGAGACACGGUCCAGACACCUACGGGUGGCAGCAGUCGAGAAUUUUUCACAAUGGGCGCAAGCCUGAUGGAGCGACGCCGCGUGGGGGAUGAAUGGCUUCGGCCCGUAAACCCCUGUCAUUUGCGAUCAACCCUCAUUAUUUAAAAGAUGAUGAGCUGAUGGUAGCGAAAGAGGAAGGGACGGCUAAC